RNAcentral lists this long non-coding RNA (562 nucleotides) under Brachypodium distachyon (stiff brome). RNAcentral describes it as "long non-coding RNA (BDIS_LNC002534)". The record is from RNAcentral. Lineage: Eukaryota; Viridiplantae; Streptophyta; Magnoliopsida; Poales; Poaceae.
UGAAAAAUGUCAAAAAUAUCAAAUCAGUCAAUGAGUCCUGAAAUUUUCUUAGUGUGAAUAUGUAAGUGUCUUAACAAGAGAAGGUAAAAUUAGGAUAUUAAACGGGAAUAAAGAAUACACGGAUAUAAAAACAUAGUACCACGUGUAAAAAAACAAAUAAACUUUCCACGACACUCUGAGCCUUGAAAAGUUCUUUUUGAGGCACCGAAACUUGAAAUUUUAAAAUAAAAAGAUACAGAAGAGAUGAGCAUUUUAGCCCACGGGUCACAGCAUGCAUACAGGUCUGCGAACCUAAACACAACGAGAAAAAGAAAAACUUACCUAGCCUAGCCAGACCCACUACUACUAGCGUCUCACGGUCGAUGAUACGCUACAACCUGGCAACCAGCCACUCGCCGCGGCGCAAAUCUUUACGUCUACAUCGAUGGCUGGCAUGAUCGAGAGAAAAUUUGGUGUCCAGUUAAUUAAACCUGUCAAAUACCGUCACAACAUGCCCACGAUGCCGUAACGGAACAUGACAUCACGGGGACACACCCGCCGACCUGACUACCGACACACACUC